This 274-nucleotide ribosomal RNA is filed under the name uncultured bacterium. RNAcentral's name for it is "partial 16S ribosomal RNA". It matches the Rfam family "Bacterial small subunit ribosomal RNA", at positions 523 to 796 of the family's 1533-position model. The record is from RNAcentral.
AUACAGAGGGUGCGAGCGUUAUUCGGAAUCACUGGGCGUAAAGGACGCGUAGGCGGGUUGGCAAGUCAGAUGUGAAAUCCUACAGCUUAACUGUAGAACUGCAUUUGAAACUGCUAACCUAGAGUAUGGGAGGGGGAGAUGGAAUUAGUGGUGUAGGGGUAAAAUCCGUAGAUAUCACUAGGAAUACCGAAAGCGAAGGCGAUCUCCUGGAACAUAACUGACGCUAAGGCGUGAAAGCGUGGGGAGCAAACAGGAUUAGAAACCCCUGUAGUCC